This 67-nucleotide transfer RNA is filed under the name Endoclita signifer. Its description in RNAcentral is "tRNA-Pro". The record is from RNAcentral. RNAcentral also lists the same sequence under 1 other name. Lineage: Eukaryota; Metazoa; Arthropoda; Insecta; Lepidoptera; Hepialidae.
CAAAGAAUAGUUUAAUUUAAAAUAAUAAUUUUGGAGAUUAUUGAUAAAAUAUUUUUUUUUUCUUUGA